Long non-coding RNA from Rosa rugosa (rugosa rose), 648 nucleotides. RefSeq lists it as uncharacterized. The transcript is spliced from 4 exons. The record is from RefSeq and is a predicted model, not a curated record. Lineage: Eukaryota; Viridiplantae; Streptophyta; Magnoliopsida; Rosales; Rosaceae.
AGAGGAGAGAGAAGUCAAAGCUGCCCACGGAAGGAUAGACCCGACCUUCCCCUCCUCCUUUCUUCUCCUUUGCGUCAUUUCUGGUUUUCCGGCGAUUUCGUCGCCGUCCGGCCACCCCAAGACGAACCGCUUGGCAUGGCGUGAUCCUCUCCUCCUUCUCUACCUAGUUAUCUCGUUUUGAUCGGUGGAGGAAGAUUUGAAGGUGUUUGAGACUGUGAACAGUACCGUGAACAGUAACUGUCGAAUUCUUGGGUUCUUGUUUGAUUUUUUUUUUUCCGGACAUUUCUACUUGAAUUUGGUUGUUGUUGCAGGACGUACUGAUCCCUCGAGCGAGGAGGACACGGGCAGGCAGCAGGGUUAGCUGCGAGACUCACCAUUUCAGAUUGGCCGAGAUCGCGCCCAGGAACUAGAGGCUUGGAAAUCAGCGCUUCCGUUUUGUUCGUAGGUUAUUACUUAACCUACCUUGUAUGAUAUCGGCUUAGUUAUGUAGAAUUGCUCUGAUAACCCUUUUAAAUUUAGAGAGUGUUAAUGCUUGAGAAUAUGUUAUCUUAUGGAGGUUAACGUGGAAUUCGUACUUCCUGAAUGUAAUAUAUACGCUUGGAAUGUAAAUAUUGGAAUGUAUCUAUGAGUGUGAGUUAGUUUAAAGCA